This 317-nucleotide long non-coding RNA is filed under the name Olea europaea (common olive). RNAcentral's name for it is "long non-coding RNA (OEUR_LNC004593)". Lineage: Eukaryota; Viridiplantae; Streptophyta; Magnoliopsida; Lamiales; Oleaceae. The record is from RNAcentral.
UUCGAUCCACUCACCGCCUCGACUUCUUCUUCUUCGAAAUUCGGCCACAUCUUCACAAGCCUCGGCACGUUCGAUUCACUCACCGCCUCGACUUCUUCGUCCACCUUUUCAAUCGUAGCAACACCAUAACAGCAAACUUCACUAUUAAUCCGAACACGGUAACACUCUCAACUCCAACCAUGAUAAAAAUAUCUAUACUUGGACUUGGGGGACUACUAUGUAGGGUACAAAAAAUUCUUUCAAUUUUUACCCCACACACUCGCUUCACCACAAUAAAAGUCCACGCAUUACAUAAAUGACCAUACUUGGACUUUGGG